Molecule: ribosomal RNA, 637 nt
Filed under: Amnibacterium sp. Ri1Pw_5499
Lineage: Bacteria; Bacillati; Actinomycetota; Actinomycetes; Micrococcales; Microbacteriaceae
Description: bacterial SSU rRNA
Rfam family: Bacterial small subunit ribosomal RNA
Source: RNAcentral
GCAGCCUGAUGCAGCAACGCCGCGUGAGGGACGACGGCCUUCGGGUUGUAAACCUCUUUUGGCAGGGAAGAAGCGAAAGUGACGGUACCUGCAGAAAAAGCACCGGCUAACUACGUGCCAGCAGCCGCGGUAAUACGUAGGGUGCAAGCGUUGUCCGGAAUUAUUGGGCGUAAAGAGCUCGUAGGCGGUUUGUCGCGUCUGCUGUGAAAACGCGAGGCUCAACCUCGCGCCUGCAGUGGGUACGGGCAGACUAGAGUGUGGUAGGGGAGAUUGGAAUUCCUGGUGUAGCGGUGGAAUGCGCAGAUAUCAGGAGGAACACCGAUGGCGAAGGCAGAUCUCUGGGCCAUUACUGACGCUGAGGAGCGAAAGCGUGGGGAGCGAACAGGAUUAGAUACCCUGGUAGUCCACGCCGUAAACGUUGGGAACUAGAUGUGGGGUCCAUUCCACGGAUUCCGUGUCGCAGCUAACGCAUUAAGUUCCCCGCCUGGGGAGUACGGCCGCAAGGCUAAAACUCAAAGGAAUUGACGGGGGCCCGCACAAGCGGCGGAGCAUGCGGAUUAAUUCGAUGCAACGCGAAGAACCUUACCAAGGCUUGACAUGCACCUGAAAAGGCUGGAAACAGUCUCCUCGCAAGACA